GACGAACGCUGGCGGCGUGCUUAACACAUGCAAGUCGAACGGAAAGGUCCUGCUUUUGUGGGGUGCUCGAGUUGCGACCGGGUGAGUAACACGUGAGUAACCUGCCCUUGACUUUGGGAUAACUUCAGGCCACUGGGUCUAAUACCGGCUAGGAGUUCCUGCUGCUUGGUGGGGGUUGGAUAGUUUAGGCGGUUGGGGAUGGACUCGCGGCUUAUCAGCUUGUUGGUGGGGUAGUGGCUUACCAAGGCUUUGACGGGUGGCCGGCCUGGGAGGAUGACCGGCCACGUUGGGACUGGAAUACGGCCCGGACUCCUACGGGAGGCAGCAGUGGGGAAUAUAGCACAAUGGGCGGAAGCCUGAUGCAGCAACGCCGCGUGCGGGAUGACGGCCUUCGGGUUGUAAACCGCUUUCGCCUGUGACGAAGCGUGAGUGACGGUAAUGGGUAAAGAAGCACCGGCUAACUACGUG
Molecule: ribosomal RNA, 468 nt
Filed under: uncultured bacterium
Lineage: Bacteria
Description: partial 16S ribosomal RNA
Rfam family: Bacterial small subunit ribosomal RNA
Source: RNAcentral